This 356-nucleotide transfer-messenger RNA is filed under the name Clostridiales bacterium. It matches the Rfam family "transfer-messenger RNA". Rfam says of the family: Bacterial tmRNA, also known as 10Sa RNA or SsrA, is named for its dual tRNA and mRNA-like properties. Its role is to liberate the mRNA from a stalled ribosome. To accomplish this part of the tmRNA is used as a reading frame that ends in a translation stop signal. The record is from RNAcentral. Lineage: Bacteria; Bacillati; Bacillota; Clostridia; Eubacteriales.
GGGGACGAAACGGUUUCGACAAUUAUGCCAAGGUCAUCUAUAAGCAUACCGCAGGGCACACUGCGUUAUCAAUAGCACCUAAAUAUAAAUGCAAGCCCAAGAAUGGCUUACGCUGCUUGCUAAUUAGUUAGCAACUGCGUUGUUCAUGCAUCUUUUCUCACCAAGAAGCAUUGAAUAUAAUAAUUGUGAGUAAGGCAUUUUCAAUUUGGUUUUGUUUGAUUGUGUCUGAUUUAAAAACCACGACAAGAUGUGCAUUUGUUCAUCUGCGCACUUGUUUAAACCAAAAUGAACUAAGUAUGUAGAAGGGGUGAUGAUAGCAUUUUUGGACGCGAGUUCAACUCUCGCCGUCUCCACCA